RNAcentral lists this ribosomal RNA (507 nucleotides) under Salmonella enterica subsp. enterica serovar Infantis. RNAcentral's name for it is "partial 23S ribosomal RNA". It matches the Rfam family "Bacterial large subunit ribosomal RNA", at positions 706 to 1211 of the family's 2925-position model. RNAcentral also lists the same sequence under 3 other names. The record is from RNAcentral. Lineage: Bacteria; Pseudomonadati; Pseudomonadota; Gammaproteobacteria; Enterobacterales; Enterobacteriaceae.
GGUAUAGACCCGAAACCCGGUGAUCUAGCCAUGGGCAGGUUGAAGGUUGGGUAACACUAACUGGAGGACCGAACCGACUAAUGUUGAAAAAUUAGCGGAUGACCUGUGGCUGGGGGUGAAAGGCCAAUCAAACCGGGAGAUAGCUGGUUCUCCCCGAAAGCUAUUUAGGUAGCGCCUCGUGAAUUCAUCUCCGGGGGUAGAGCACUGUUUCGGCUAGGGGGCCAUCCCGGCUUACCAACCCGAUGCAAACUGCGAAUACCGGAGAAUGUUAUCACGGGAGACACACGGCGGGUGCUAACGUCCGUCGUGAAGAGGGAAACAACCCAGACCGCCAGCUAAGGUCCCAAAGUCAUGGUUAAGUGGGAAACGAUGUGGGAAGGCCCAGACAGCCAGGAUGUUGGCUUAGAAGCAGCCAUCAUUUAAAGAAAGCGUAAUAGCUCACUGGUCGAGUCGGCCUGCGCGGAAGAUGUAACGGGGCUAAACCAUGCACCGAAGCUGCGGCAGCGA